Molecule: long non-coding RNA, 671 nt
Organism: Homo sapiens (human)
Lineage: Eukaryota; Metazoa; Chordata; Mammalia; Primates; Hominidae
Product: long intergenic non-protein coding RNA 1980
Source: Ensembl
CCGGGAGGAGGGGGAGUAUCAGAAGGGAACGGCUGGCUGGACCCCCUUUGCAGAGGCUUCCAGAAUUGGCAGUCUUUCCUGUGCUACAGCUUUGCACAGCAGCAUUGAGGUGACAUGUAUUUUUUGGACAUUUCCAGAGGAACAAUUUACACUUGGUCUAUGGAUGCCCACUGGAUCCAAAGAGAGAAACUCUAUAGAAUUAUGAUCUAGGUUUGACUGACUCCUGGCAAGAAGCCCUACCCGCCAGCCAAUUUGGAUGAGGAACACAGAAUCACUUGUGGAAUUAAGAGAUAAGGACAGCAAGUAGACCAAACUAUAAGCUGAGGUUCAAGGUGGCAUAGGCUGGGUGCCACAGUGCUGUGUCUCAGGUCACAGGGGUCAUCCAUCUUUCCUUCUAUGUGACUGGUUUGCUCUUGCAUAUCAUGUUUUCCGCUCUUAUGCUCCAGAUCCAUCAUGAGAAGAACAUGCCCUGGAUUCCUGCUAUCCCUUUAGCCAUGGCUCCAAAAUUAACACACACAAGGAAGACCUGAGGUCAAUCCACAGCCUGGAUUCAAGUCACCUAAUACAUAGGAGAAUCAGAGCUACCCAGCCACACUCAAUCUACGUUAACUGAACCUCAGCUGACCUGCAGAUUUAUGAGUAUGAGAAUAAAGGCUUGUUAAUGUAUAUCA